CAGACUAAAGCAAAUGAAAUUAUCUGACAAGCAGUUCAUAGAGACCCAUGGGAAAAUUCUUGGCAAUAAAAUAUGCUCUACUUUCUGAAUUCCUCAUUAAGUCAGCAUAGCUCUGCCACAGUUUGCUGUUUUCAAGCCUAGUUGGAUAUGUAAAUGAUAAAACUUCCUCAGUAUAAACUGCUACACACAAACAGAUUCAUAUUCUAACUGUAUGAAGCUGAUUUUACCUCUAGAAGGAGAACGAGAGCUGUAGCUAGGGCAGCAGUCACUGUCAUCAUUAACUGUAAAUCUUCUGGGUCAUGGGAAGGGAAUUCAUCUCAAGGAAAUACUUUGCAACAGUUCAAAGCAGCAGUUGGUGAAAAUAAUCAUAGGACAUAAAGGCUAUUCCCAACCAUGAGAGUAUUUGGUUCCUCUUUUAAUGCUUCCUCUAAACAAAAACUGGCAGUGCCUGCUGACUAGACAACAGAUAGCUGAAGACAGAAGAAAAAGCAGGUAAAUAAUCCUGUUUGGCUCCAGGGAAAAGCUGCUUGAUGUGGAGGCAUAGCAAAGAUCAAAGUGAGCAGAUGGACACAAUCUGCUCAUUGGAGAGUACAUCCUGACUUUUGAGAAAUACACGUUGUGAUUUGGGAACACAGCACUCCAGCAAUAUGCCAGUCUAAGCUUCAGAAUGAUUCAAUGCUCUUAAAAGAGUGGAGCAGCAUGUCUUUGUCAGAUAAUUCAGAAACCAGAAUUACUGUUUUCGAGGGCAAAUAGUAAAGCUAAUUUAUUUAUUGAGAGACAAAUACAUACUCACUUGCACAACCAGAAAGAGAACAACAACCCAACAUAUUUACAGAGCCUACCUGGUGAAGUAAAUUUUUUACUAUCCUACUCUUUGAGGGAUUACCUC
This 889-nucleotide long non-coding RNA is filed under the name Gallus gallus (chicken). RNAcentral describes it as "long non-coding RNA NONGGAT011841". Lineage: Eukaryota; Metazoa; Chordata; Aves; Galliformes; Phasianidae. The record is from RNAcentral.